GCCAUAAGAUGACAGCAUGUUCACAAAUUUUUUACACCACACAUUUUUAUUUUUAUUUAAUUGUAUUUUUUAUAUAAUGUGUUGUUUGUGUUUAUUAUUUUUUAAUGUUGAGUGUUUAUUCUAUGUUUUUUACAUUUAGUGACAUGCAUAUAUACACACAACAAAAAUCUCAACAUCAAUUCUAACCUCAAAGAUUUUUUUGUCAUCUUUUAUUUUUGUUUUCAUGUUUUAUGUUUUUUGAUUGUAUAUCAUGUUUUGAUCAAAAAUCUCAUUUUUAUUAUUAUUAUUUCGAAAUUCUCAUGCUGUCUUGAAGAGUCGUAAUAUCACGACGAAAUGCAUAGACGAAUUCGAAUUUUUUAAAUAUAUGAAAAUUCUUUUGUGAACAAAAACACCGUUCUUAUUUAAUAGACCAAAGGCCACAAAAAUAUUAUCUCAAUGAUAUACAUAUAUUGCAAUAAUAUAAAUGUGAGGUAAUAGGUGAACCGUCUGUCGAAGACAAAGGUUGGAUCCAAUUUUCAAAAAUGGAACGAAGGAACAAAAGUUAGGACCAAAACGGGAAUUCCAUGACGAUUAAUUCGGGCUUGUGUAACAAGUGGUUUUCAUUUGAAGUCACAUCCACCGCCAGCACCAUCAUCAAUUUAUCGUCGGUAUAUCAAGAAAUUUUUUUAUAAUAAUUUUUAAAAUAUUAUGUUUAAACUUAAAAAUAAUUUUUAAGAUUUAAUUUUAAGUUUUUUUUAACCAAUUUUAAACGAAUUAAUUUUGCGAAAUUGACAAUAACGGCGACGACAGCAGACAUAAAAUUAAAAAAAAAGGAAAAGAAAAUUAUUAAUUUAUUUGAGAAAUUUGUGGUGCUCUGAAGAUCCAGAUUAUCUCACAAUCAUGCAUCUUUUCAAGGACCAAAAACAACGUGACUAUACGUACGGGAUUCACAGAGUUGAUGGGAAGACUUUUUGAAAAAUUCAAUUAUGAAAAUUCAUCUGCUCCGAUUCAGGAAAUGUCGAGACGGAUGAAUGUGAAUAUUCGCACAAAUAUGUCUUUCCCUACCUGAAAUCGAUUAGCAAAAUUUUUCGUAAUUGAAUUUUGAAAAAAUGGUCUAACACAAAAACAAACGACGUCGACAACGACGAACUCAACAGACGACGACAAUAAACAUUACAAAACAGAUAGACGAAAAAUACGAAACAGGAAAAAAGAAACAAGUGGACUAGGAAGAACAGGAGUAAAAAGAAUGGGACAAAAGAAGGCUGACUAUAAAAAAUGAACGAAAAUUUAAUAGAGUCAUACCUAGACAAAAAACAAAGAGACAAAAUGAUUUUCUCACAAAAAUAUCGGGAUUUGAAGACAAUAACCGUUGAACAGUUUUAAAGAAAUGAAUGUGGAAAAUCUGGACUUUCGUAACGUGGAAAAGAGUUCCGAAUGCCACAAAUUUUUCCUUCGCCUGCAAAUUUAUUUUUCAAUUAAAAAAAAAAAAGUUAUAUAUUAGUCCCAAUAAUGUCAAAUUGUUUAAAGUAUUUAACAUAGACAAAUCAACUUUGACCUGACUGAUAAACAAUCGGCAAACCAUCAUCAUCUUGGCGAAUCGAGGUGAUAAAAGGUCUCGAUUCGGGCUUCAGUUGGGUUUCGGUGGUGUUGGCAGCACACGACCCAACGAAUUCGACAUUAAGACAGUAGACAAGCAUAUUAAAAUAAAAACUGCUUCUUUUCGUUGGCACACCCAGGAGAAGAAACGAUGGACAGCUCUAUUUAAAAACACAAAUAAUUUAGUUAAAUAUUACAAUGACACGCUACAAACUAACGAAUACAGGGACAAAGUUAACCACAAAGACUCGACGAAAAUUAUAACAUCGACAAAGUUUCUCCUACAGACAUCUUUUGAACAGCAGAUUUUCAUAGAGAAACGUAAAGUAGCUAAAUUAAAAUGUAUCAAGUAUAUGAUGAUUCAACGAGAGGCAGACUACUUGACAAAAUAUAUCGUGGGUGAUGUCAACAAAAGACAGUUGAUUGUCAUGUUUUGGGUCAACUCGAUAUCUCACCAUGGAUGAAGGGGCACGUACGCAUGUCUUUGCGUUCUGUAAUCAAAAAGACUUGUUGAAAAGCAACGAAAAUUAAAUAAUUUGUACGUUAUUUUUGUCAAUAUAUACAAAUAUUAUACUGCGCUAAAUGUAAAAUCUCUUGGAACAGGGACGAAAAUGCGGCGAGAAAUAUUCUUUAUUUGGGCAUGUUGAAAAUGGGUCUGAUCAAAAAACGACAACUGUUGAGAUGAGAACAAUUUCGAGCACAAUCAUAAUUUUUUAAAUUCUUUUAUGGAUAAAAUUAUGACAGAGUUCCAUUUAGAGUUUAUUUUAAUUUCUAAUAAAGAUAAAAUAUUUAUAUGUAUCAAUUCAAAGCUAAUAUGACAUAAUUUCAUAAUAUUCAGAUAAUAGAUUUAAAAAAAUGUUUUCUCUAUAUUGUUUAACUGUAGUUAACAGUAAGAAAAAUUUCGCUUAUUUUAAAACAAUUUCAAACAGAUGUAGGGUAGUUGCACCAGUGAAAGAAUUGACACCAGUAAAAAAACAAAUUGAUUAUUUAUUACGAUAUUUCACAAAUUAUAACUUUUAGCAAUAUAAAAAAAACAUUUUUUGGUUCCUUAUUUCUUCAAAAUAUAGUUUAUGAUAAAAAAAUAGAUUUAAUAUGCAAGUUAUUUCUGAAAAUAAUUUUUUAAUGUUUUGGUGGGUUAUGAACAUGACAAAUGAAUGAAGCAUAAACAGAAAAAAGGUUACAAGUUUCAGGUGCAAUUAAAUAAUAUUUCUGGUUGCGUAAUUAGAAAAAUAUUAAUAAUGGUAAGUUGUAAAAUUGUUUCAGAAUAUUUGUAGCGUUUUUCAUAUAAUUUUUGUUAUUUUUAGACACUGUAUUAAUAUAAAUUUGAUUUGUUCUUUCACUGGAAAAUACAACUGUUCUUUUACUGGUCAACAUUCUUUCACUGGUAAAAUGGACAUUUUUCAAUAUUUGAUUAAAAUUUAAUAUUUUAUGUUAUAUUUACAAAAUUUGUAUCAUAGGCUUCAAAUUCUUUAGAAAUUUUGCUACUCAUUGCAUACGUUUAAAAGGAAAUUCAAGAAUGUCAAUUAAAAAUAAAAAAUAUCGAAAAUAUACAUUUCCUUAAAUGUUCUUUCACUGGUGUCACUACCCUAGUUUUUAACAAGUCAACACACAAAAAUAUCAUGCAUUGCAAUUGAAAAGGGGAAUUUUUCUUGUUUUGAUUACGAUUGUUAUUUGUUUAUUAUUAUUAUUUAUUUGUUAAAUUUUUAAGUUUUUUAUAAAUUAUUUACAAGAAAAAUUAUGCAACGGCACACUAUAAAAAAAAUUUUUACGGACUUUGAAUUAAAAUAAAUAUUGAAAUUAAAAAAAUGCAUAAGUGUCUACUCUUAAACAAGACAAUACUGAUUUUAAAGCUGCACUAGAAUCAUUAUGGAAAGUUGAUAUCUGACCUUAAAAGAGAUAAAUUUUUAUAACUCCUGAAGGACCAUGAUAUAAUUUUGCUUGCUCAUGAAACUUUAUUUACAGUAUUGAAUAAAAUGCACGAAGAAAAAAAGAUAAUGAAAAUUACCUUGAGGAGUGUAAAACUUAAAAAAUUUCCUGUGUCAACUAUGGGACAAAACUCUGUUAUAUGUAGGUUAUUAUCUACGUAAUAUCAAAACAGUGUGUUUGGUUUAAAAA
Leptopilina heterotoma is the source of this 3693-nucleotide long non-coding RNA. RefSeq lists it as uncharacterized. The record is from RefSeq and is a predicted model, not a curated record. NCBI's taxonomy places the organism in Eukaryota, Metazoa, Arthropoda, Insecta, Hymenoptera, Figitidae. The transcript has 4 exons.